GUCAAAGCAAACAAACCAGGGCAGAAAAAAUUCCCCCCUAACCUCUUUCACUUACAGGAAUCUAAGUGUGUCUUGCAACAACAGUAGGUUGGAGUGUGUGAUGUUACUACAUGGAAUAGGCUGAUGCCAUACGGAAGAGGAAUGGAGGGAAAAGAUUACAAGAAGAAAACAAUAAAAAACAAAAGUAAAGUCUCCAGGAGAGCGCCUAGGGUGUGUGUCUCCCCACUGUGAUAGUCCAUCCUGUGCGGACUACAAUAUGGCUGCCAGUCAAUGCCAAAAGCAGAGCCCAUGAAGAUUUAAAGAUGAAGUACACAAGAGUCAAAACACUCACUUAAUCGCAUACCCAUCAUACUAUUUAGCACAAAAAAAUGAACAGCAGCAGAAGCUAUCACACUACAAGCUCACUAAUAAUAGCAUCACACCCUGCACACAAUACACCCUGCUGUCUUUAAUUCUUAUGCAGAAUGGAUGGCUGAAAUUUGUAUUUUGCUG
Molecule: non-coding RNA, 492 nt
Organism: Chrysemys picta bellii (western painted turtle)
Lineage: Eukaryota; Metazoa; Chordata; Testudines; Emydidae
Source: RefSeq, a predicted model, not a curated record